This 244-nucleotide ribosomal RNA is filed under the name Orasema sp. PER D4889. Its description in RNAcentral is "partial 28S ribosomal RNA". The record is from RNAcentral. Lineage: Eukaryota; Metazoa; Arthropoda; Insecta; Hymenoptera; Eucharitidae.
CAGACCGUCGGUGACCCGGCCGAUUGCCCGGCGGUAGUUGAUUGCUCUCAUUGAGGUAAUGGGCCGCAUUAAGUGCGUCAAGGCUCGUAGGCAGGCUCGUCUCGCUCGGUUAUCACGGACUAUGCGCCGUUGCCGAGCGCUUGACGUGGCUGUUCGUCCACGAUGUCCUCUGACUGGCUCUUGCGUUCGAACGGACGUACCGGUCGGCGACGCUACUGCUUCGGAUACUUUCAGGACCCGUCUU